AUGAACGCUGGCGGCGUGUCUAAGGCAUGCAAGUCGAGCGACGUGUUCCCCGCAAGGGGAAUUACGAGCGGCAAACGGGUGAGUAACACAUUGGUAACCUGCCUCCAAGUCGGAGAUAGCCUGCCGAAAGGCGGAUUAAUAUCCGAUAGCAACGCGAUGACACAAGUCUUUGCGUUUAAAGAUUUAUUGCUUGGAGAGGGACCUAUGUCUGAUUAGCUUGUUGGCGGGGUAAUGGCCCACCAAGGCUUUGAUCAGUAGCAGGCGUGAGAGCGUGACCUGCCUCACUGGGACUGAGAUACUGCCCAGACACCUACGGGUGGCUGCAGUCGAGAAUAUUCCACAAUGGGCGAAAGCCUGAUGGAGCGACGCCGCGUGCAGGAUGAAGGUUUUCGGAUUGUAAACUGCUUUUCUCAGGGAAGAAUUUGUGACGGUACCUGAGGAAUAAGAGGUUGCUAACUCUGU
This 462-nucleotide ribosomal RNA is filed under the name uncultured bacterium. RNAcentral's name for it is "bacterial SSU rRNA". It matches the Rfam family "Bacterial small subunit ribosomal RNA", at positions 29 to 506 of the family's 1533-position model. The record is from RNAcentral.